This is a non-coding RNA of Castor canadensis (American beaver), 737 nucleotides long. The record is from RefSeq and is a predicted model, not a curated record. NCBI's taxonomy places the organism in Eukaryota, Metazoa, Chordata, Mammalia, Rodentia, Castoridae.
CCCCAGCCGGGCGGGGCCGAGCCAACGCCGGGCGCGAGGUGAGCGCGGGCGCCCGGCCGGGAAGCCUGCCCUCUGCUGCACCCUCCCGGGCUCGGUCCUCCUGGCCUUGGCCCGUCACCCCGCCUCAGCUGGACCUCCAACCCCCUCUCCGCCCGCAGGGACCCCCGCCCGGGCACCCAGAGCGCACCCGGGCGCACUAGGCGCAACGCAGGUGGGCAGUGCCACCGCCAACCGCGACCAGACGCCGCUUCUGCUGGAGAUCCUGACUUCGGUCCUCUGGCAGCUAUUGGGCGAAAGUUCUCCGAGCUACUUCCGGGGACGAAGGCGCCACCUGUCCCGGGGCGCGACCCUUUCCCAGGACUUUUUUCUCCAGAAAGAAAAUCUGGACCUGCUACACUGAGCCUACAGACAGUCCUACAGUAAUGAAUCAGUGCAUCUACAGAGGAAUGGAAUCAAACAAGGAAAGGCCUAAGCGACAGCGGCAGAACCACACUCCCGUGUUUCCCUCUCCCAAGACCUGGAACUUCAGAGGGCGGAAACGGAAGCAGAGUGCUCAGGAUGAAGAUGCAGUCAGCCUUUGCAGUCUCGACAUAAAUGUAAGUUCGGUCUUUGCCUACCUUGCCCAGGACAAGCCUGUUGCUCCUUUCUGAAUAUUGUUUGUGCAUAUGCUGUUUCUUUUUUUUUUCUUUUUUCUUUUUUCUUUUAUUAUUCAUAUGUGCAUACAAGGCUUGGUUCAU